UUUAUGUUAAUUUAAGGUGGUUUAAAGAGAAAUAAUACAUAGUUGCUCAUAUUUUCUCAAAAUAAAGUAAUUUCGCCCUGCAUUUUACCCAUUUUUCAUCCGUUUUUGUCAUUUUUUGUCUUUUUUUAAAAAAGUGGUAUAACUUUUUUGUUUUAAUCGCUAUUAAAAAUUGUCAAAGGAAAAAAGUGUUAAUUUUUAGUCGUAAUUUUCGAAAAGAAAUUGAAAAAAAUUUCUUUUUGAAAAAUGCGAAUUUUAGAACUUUUUAAAAACUAAAAAUUUGAAUUAUUUUGUUGUUUUUCAACGAAAUCAUCUGGCCAACGAACUCAGGCGAGAUUUUGGUACACUUAAGGUGUAUACCAAAUUUGAAGUCGAUUCAUUAAAAUUUGUUCGAGUUAUCGUCGGACCAAAUUUUGUCUACAGACAUACAGACAGACAGACAUUUUUUUAGGACCCAUUUUUUCGGCAUCAGAAAGUCUCAAAACGUCGAGAUUUACUAAAAUUAGAGAAUGCUCAAAAUCGCCCAAAUGUAAUACCUUCUCAUUAUGAUGAGAAUGUAAAAAUAAAUUUUUAUUAAAAAUUAAAAAAAAAAAAAAAUUCGGUAUUUUAUGAGUAAGUUACUUUAAUUUAUGUUAAUUUAAGGUGGUUUAAAGAGAAAUAAUACAUAGUUGCUCAUAUUUUCUCAAAAUAAAGUAAUUUCGCCCUGCAUUUUACCCAUUUUUCAUCCGUUUUUGUCAUUUUUUGUCUUUUUUUAAAAAAGUGGUAUAACUUUUUUGUUUUAAUCGCUAUUAAAAAUUGUCAAAGGAAAAAAGUGUUAAUUUGUAGUCGUAAUUUUCGAAAAGAAAUUGAAAAAAAAUUUUUUUUGAAAAAUGCGAAUUUUAGAACUUUUUAAAAACUAAAAAUUUGAAUUAUUUUGUUGUUUUUCAACGAAAUCAUCUGGCCAACGAACUCAGGCCAGAUUUUGGUACACUUAAGGUGUAUACCAAAUUUGAAGUCGAUUCAUUAAAAUUUGUUCGAGUUAUCGUCGGACCAAAUUUUGUGUACAGACAUACAGACAUACAGACAGACAGACAUUUUUUUAGGACCCAUUUUUUCGGCAUCAGAAAGUCUCAAAACGUCGAGAUUUACUAAAAUUAGAGAAUGCUCAAAAUCGCCCAAAUGUAAUACCUUCUCAUUAGGAUGAGAAGGUAAAAAUAAAUUUUUAUUAAAAAUUUAAAAAAAAAAAAAAAUUCGGUAUUUUAUGAGUAAGUUACUUUAAUUUAUGUUAAUUUAAGGUGGUUUAAAGAGAAAUAAUACAUAGUUGCUCAUAUUUUCUCAAAAUAAAGUAAUUUCGCCCUGCAUUUUACCCAUUUUUCAUCCGUUUUUGUCAUUUUUUGUCUUUUUUUAAAAAAGUGGUAUAACUUUUUUGUUUUAAUCGCUAUUAAAAAUUGUCAAAGGAAAAAAGUGUUUAUUUUUAGUCGUAAUUUUCGAAAAAAAAUUGAAAAAAUUUUUUUUUUGAAAAAUGCGAAUUUUAGAACUUUUUAAAAACUAAAAAUUUGAAUUAUUUUGUUGUUUUUCAACGAAAUCAUCUGGCCAACGAACUCAGGCGAGAUUUUGGUACACUUAAGGUGUAUACCAAAUUUGAAGUCGAUUCAUUAAAAUUUGUUCGAGUUAUCGUCGGACCAAAUUUUGUCUACAGACAUACAGACAUACAGACAGACAUUUUUUUAGGACCCAUUUUUUCGGCAUCAGAAAGUCUCAAAACGUCGAGAUUUACUAAAAUUAGAGAAUGCUCAAAAUCGCCCAAAUGUAAUA
Long non-coding RNA from Leptopilina boulardi, 1791 nucleotides. RefSeq lists it as uncharacterized. NCBI's taxonomy places the organism in Eukaryota, Metazoa, Arthropoda, Insecta, Hymenoptera, Figitidae. The transcript has 3 exons. The record is from RefSeq and is a predicted model, not a curated record.